CUUAGAUUUGAUUACCUAAAAUUAGGUUUUUAUUUUACCUAUAAUUAGGUAAUGGAUGUUUACUUGAAUAAUCGGUAAAAAUUAACGAUUAUUUUCACUAAUUUUUACCUAAUUUAGAGUAUUGUGUCUUUUCCAGUAACGACGCUAUUUUUUACUUAAAAAUAGUUUAUUAUUGUCUUUGUUAAAAUCGAGUCUACUGCCGGUAUAUUGAGUUGCUGUUCCAGAUGAGGUUCCAGAUUCGGAGAAUUUUCUUGGCGUCUUCUCGGUUGGCCUCUCCAGGCACCUCUUUCUGGCUCUCAGGCUUCCGGAUUUCUUGUAAUUAGAUAUAAAGGCCUUUCCGGCAUAUUUUUAUAUCCGCUUAUUGUGACAUCUGAUCAUCUAGUUCCGUCCCUUCUAGAUGCUAAGAUCUUCUUUCCAGCUGCCGAUUUCCAAAAAUCAAGAAAUCCUAUCAACUUUACCCAAGGUUUUCUGGCUUUUCUUAUGUGCAGUUUCGACAAAACUUUUGUUUUUGGAAACCUUUUAAGCCAUGAAUAUGCAUAUACAGUGCUCCGUAAUUCACCAUCACCUGCAUCAUAUCGUCGGUCCCUUUUUAGAAGUGAUAAAUGUUAUAAUUAUUAUAGAAAAAUAAAAUAUAAAUUGGGUUGGGCUUCCAUUUGUCAUCAAACUGUCACAAUUUCAUCUCUCCAGAAAAUUUGGCAUAUUUGUUCAAAUCUCCCUGGAUAGGAUGAAACUGGCAAUAUGAGACAAAUAAUGGAAUAUUUUUUCCUUUUUUGAUAACAAUAAA
Long non-coding RNA from Armigeres subalbatus, 784 nucleotides. RefSeq lists it as uncharacterized. Lineage: Eukaryota; Metazoa; Arthropoda; Insecta; Diptera; Culicidae. The transcript has 3 exons. The record is from RefSeq and is a predicted model, not a curated record.